RNAcentral lists this ribosomal RNA (1352 nucleotides) under uncultured bacterium. RNAcentral describes it as "bacterial SSU rRNA". It matches the Rfam family "Bacterial small subunit ribosomal RNA", at positions 28 to 1381 of the family's 1533-position model. The record is from RNAcentral.
AUUGAACGCUGGCGGCAUGCCUUACACAUGCAAGUCGAACGGCAGCACGGAGCUUGCUCUGGUGGCGAGUGGCGAACGGGUGAGUAAUAUAUCGGAACGUACCCUAGAGUGGGGGAUAACGUAGCGAAAGUUACGCUAAUACCGCAUACGAUCUAAGGAUGAAAGUGGGGGAUCGCAAGACCUCAUGCUCGUGGAGCGGCCGAUAUCUGAUUAGCUAGUUGGUAGGGUAAAAGCCUACCAAGGCAUCGAUCAGUAGCUGGUCUGAGAGGACGACCAGCCACACUGGAACUGAGACACGGUCCAGACUCCUACGGGAGGCAGCAGUGGGGAAUUUUGGACAAUGGGCGAAAGCCUGAUCCAGCAAUGCCGCGUGAGUGAAGAAGGCCUUCGGGUUGUAAAGCUCUUUUGUCAGGGAAGAAACGGUGGGAGCUAAUAUCUCUUGCUAAUGACGGUACCUGAAGAAUAAGCACCGGCUAACUACGUGCCAGCAGCCGCGGUAAUACGUAGGGUGCAAGCGUUAAUCGGAAUUACUGGGCGUAAAGCGUGCGCAGGCGGUUUUGUAAGUCUGAUGUGAAAUCCCCGGGCUCAACCUGGGAAUUGCAUUGGAGACUGCAAGGCUAGAAUCUGGCAGAGGGGGGUAGAAUUCCACGUGUAGCAGUGAAAUGCGUAGAUAUGUGGAGGAACACCGAUGGCGAAGGCAGCCCCCUGGGUCAAGAUUGACGCUCAUGCACGAAAGCGUGGGGAGCAAACAGGAUUAGAUACCCUGGUAGUCCACGCCCUAAACGAUGUCUACUAGUUGUCGGGUCUUAAUUGACUUGGUAACGCAGCUAACGCGUGAAGUAGACCGCCUGGGGAGUACGGUCGCAAGAUUAAAACUCAAAGGAAUUGACGGGGACCCGCACAAGCGGUGGAUGAUGUGGAUUAAUUCGAUGCAACGCGAAAAACCUUACCUACCCUUGACAUGGCUGGAAUCCUUGAGAGAUCAGGGAGUGCUCGAAAGAGAACCAGUACACAGGUGCUGCAUGGCUGUCGUCAGCUCGUGUCGUGAGAUGUUGGGUUAAGUCCCGCAACGAGCGCAACCCUUGUCAUUAGUUGCUACGAAAGGGCACUCUAAUGAGACUGCCGGUGACAAACCGGAGGAAGGUGGGGAUGACGUCAAGUCCUCAUGGCCCUUAUGGGUAGGGCUUCACACGUCAUACAAUGGUACAUACAGAGCGCCGCCAACCCGCGAGGGGGAGCUAAUCGCAGAAAGUGUAUCGUAGUCCGGAUUGUAGUCUGCAACUCGACUGCAUGAAGUUGGAAUCGCUAGUAAUCGCGGAUCAGCAUGUCGCGGUGAGUACGUUCCCGGGUCU